UCUAGCUCAAUAUUAUUGUUGGAUUUGAGCCCAAGUAUUGAUUGAACUAAACUAGGCUUGAUUAGUCUAGAUCAAUUCAGGGUGAUUCCAAAUUAAUUGACUUAUUCAAGUUAGUUUAACCUAAAUUAAACCUAAUCUAAUCCAAAUUAUACUAGUCUAGGGUGGUUCCAGACCAGUUAAAUAAGGAUCAGAGAUCGGUUCAGUUAGAUCCUAGUAAAUUGAGUUCAAUUGGAUCAAUUGAACUAGAGUUCAAGUCAAUUGAGGGCUAAUUUAUAUUAUUUGGUAUUGAUGAUAUUUGAAAGAAAUGUUUAAAUGUGUUAUUUCAUCCCUAUAUGGACAUGACUAGUGUGAGAUUAU
RNAcentral lists this long non-coding RNA (357 nucleotides) under Musa acuminata (dwarf banana). RNAcentral describes it as "long non-coding RNA (MACU_LNC011881)". Lineage: Eukaryota; Viridiplantae; Streptophyta; Magnoliopsida; Zingiberales; Musaceae. The record is from RNAcentral.